Manis javanica (Malayan pangolin) is the source of this 910-nucleotide long non-coding RNA. RefSeq lists it as uncharacterized. NCBI's taxonomy places the organism in Eukaryota, Metazoa, Chordata, Mammalia, Pholidota, Manidae. The record is from RefSeq and is a predicted model, not a curated record.
GUGCACUUGAGGUUCUCGGGGAUGGGGGAGCCAGUUCCGAGCCAAAAUAUCCCACCCCCAGAGGGCAGCGGACGGCAGAGGUUCCCGCGCAGGCAGGACGGCGGCCUCGGCUGGGAGGGGCCGGAGUCCGCAACUCCCUCCCCCAUUCUCGCACCUGCUGGCAGCGGGGGGCUCCAAUGAAUGGACAACUUCCAAGAAUUCUUGCCCCUUCCCCCACCUUUUACAUAGCCAAACCCUGGGACAAAAGGCGCCGGGGGUCUGGGGCUCCUUCCUCGGCUCCUGCCAGCUCCGGCCCUGCCCCUGCGGACUGGGACCAGCUUCAGACGAAAUGAGUGUUGGUUGAUUCUAACUGGCAUUUUUUGCCUCUCUGAUAGCCUCCAGAAGGGCUGCAACUUCCUACUUUAUGGACCAACAUGUGAUAGACAUCUUUCGCUAGGCAAUUAAACUCUGUGCCUUAGGCUACCUCCUGCCUUAGAUGGAAAAACAAAAUACAGCCAGGGAGGUCAUGGUUCUAGUCAGCCCAGCCAGCCCUCAACCUCAAGGGGCCCAGCAGAUCCGUCCCUUGAAGGGCUUGGAAGACACCCAACAAAUGACAAUACAAAAUGCUUCCUUUGUUCAUUUACCAAAACACAAAGAUAAAUAUAUAAGUAUGUAAGUACUUAUCUACGUAUUAUGGUCUUUGACUAAACAAUUCUACUUCUUGAAUCUUACAGAAAUGUUUGCACUAUAUGUGCAAAUGUGUCUCAUGAAUGUUGUUCGUAAUAGUGAAAAGUGGAAACAACCUAAAUGUCCAAUUGCAAAGGAUUGCUUAAAUACAUUAUUGUAUUCCCUAUAAUAAAAUAUUCUGCAGCUGUUAAAAGGUGUGAGGUAUAUGCUGAUGAGGAAAGAGAUCCAUGACAUUUUGUCCGGU